This 301-nucleotide ribosomal RNA is filed under the name uncultured bacterium. RNAcentral describes it as "partial 16S ribosomal RNA". It matches the Rfam family "Bacterial small subunit ribosomal RNA", at positions 509 to 808 of the family's 1533-position model. The record is from RNAcentral.
CAGCAGCCGCGGUAAUACGAAGGUGCAAGCGUUAAUCGGAAUUACUGGGCGUAAAGCGUGCGUAGGCGGUUUGUUAAGUCUGUUGUGAAAUCCCCGGGCUCAACCUGGGAAUGGCAAUGGAUACUGGCAAGCUAGAGUGUGUCAGAGGAUGGUGGAAUUCCCGGUGUAGCGGUGAAAUGCGUAGAGAUCGGGAGGAACAUCAGUGGCGAAGGCGGCCAUCUGGGACAACACUGACGCUGAGGCACGAAAGCGUGGGGAGCAAACAGGAUUAGAUACCCCGGUAGUCCCUGUCUCUUAUACA